UGGGGGCUAUUGCACAAUGGGCGAAAGCCUGAUGCAGCGACGCCGCGUGGGGGAUGAAGGCUUUCGGGUUGUAAACCUCUUUCGCUAUCGAACAAGGCCCGCUUAGGGUGGGUUGAGGGUAGGUGGAGAAGAAGCGCCGGCUAACUACGUGCCAGCAGCCGCGGUAAUACGUAGGGCGCGUGCGUUGUCCGGAAUUAUUGGGCGUAAAGGGCUUGUAGGCCGCUUGUUGCGCCUGCUGUGAAAACGCUGGGCUUGACUUCGCGCGUGGAGUGGGUACGGGCGGGCUUGAGGGUGGUAGGGGUGACUGGAAUUCCAGGUGUAGCGGUGGAAUGCGAAGAUAUCUGGGGGAACACCGAUGGCGAAGGCAGGUCACUGGGCCAUUACUGACGCUGAGGAGCGAAAGCAUGGGUAGCGAACAGG
RNAcentral lists this ribosomal RNA (420 nucleotides) under bacterium. RNAcentral's name for it is "partial 16S ribosomal RNA". It matches the Rfam family "Bacterial small subunit ribosomal RNA", at positions 355 to 776 of the family's 1533-position model. The record is from RNAcentral.